Non-coding RNA from Dermacentor albipictus, 320 nucleotides. NCBI's taxonomy places the organism in Eukaryota, Metazoa, Arthropoda, Arachnida, Ixodida, Ixodidae. The record is from RefSeq and is a predicted model, not a curated record.
CCCAUACGCUCUUACCAGCUGCCACAGACACCUUCCAUUUGCACUGAUGCUGCAGAAAAAUACCAAGAAGGCGCAGAGGAAAGCUCGAGCAGCGCGUUGUUGGAACUUGAUGCACCACUGGCCGAAGAGAGUGAACCAGUAGAGUGCGAUGAUUUCCUUCCUCCAGAAGCUCUGGCUGCGAGUCCAGGUGAUUGCACUCCAAUAUCAGAAGAGAUAAGUGCCGAGGCUGAGGAGCUGUCUAAAGAAAUUGGAAUUCAGGUCGACACUAGAAACAACCUAUUUGCAAGAGAACAGCUUAUCACAAUUGCAAAAGUGCCCGA